This 468-nucleotide ribosomal RNA is filed under the name uncultured bacterium. Its description in RNAcentral is "partial 16S ribosomal RNA". It matches the Rfam family "Bacterial small subunit ribosomal RNA", at positions 28 to 507 of the family's 1533-position model. The record is from RNAcentral.
GACGAACGCUGGCGGCGUGCUUAACACAUGCAAGUCGAACGGAAAGGCCCUGCUUUUGUGGGGUGCUCGAGUGGCGAACGGGUGAGUAACACGUGAGUAACCUGCCCUUGACUUUGGGAUAACUUCAGGAAACUUGGUCUAAUACCGGAUAGGAGCUCCUGCUGCAUGGUGGGUGUUGGAAAGUUUCGGCGGUUGGGGAUGUACUCGCGGCUUAUCAGCUUGUUGGUGGGGUAGUGGCUUACCAAGGCUUUGACGGGUAGCCGGCCUGGGAGGGUGACCGGGAACAUGGGGACUGAGAUACGGCGCAGACUCGUACGGGAGGCAGCAGUGGGGAAUAUUGCACAAUAGGCGGAAGCGUGAUGAAGCGACGCCGGGUGCGGAAUGACGGACUUCGGGUUGUAAAACGCUUUCGCCUGUGACGAAGCGUGAGUGACGGUAAUGGAUAAAGAAGCACCGGCUAACUACGUG